CAAUUAGCACUGAUGUACCAGCCUGUGAAAUCUCUUCCUAUGUACCAUCUCUUCAGAUGUCCUGAGAGACACACAUGGCCCCUGUUGUUAUCUGCCUGAGGUUUUCAGGGUCUUGCUGCCCUGAGGAGCAGGGCCAGCAGCUGGGUGGCUGUUUGGAGCCCCUGUGUGAGGAACAGCUGGAUUUGGCAGCACUGGCAUCAGCACUCUGCAACACGGUGGUUUGAUGAGAAGAACAUCUGCUGAAGACAGAAGCCUGCAGACUCACUGAAUGGUAACUCAAACUUCAAGCUAGUGUUUGCAACAGUGUAUUCUACCUUGUCUGCUUUCUUCUCCAGAGAGGUGAAGGAUGCUUAAGGACACCCUGGAAGCAUUCUGUAUGGAUUAACCCAUGGGAAAGUGAUUUGGCAAGAGGAAGCUAGGCCUGGCUGCAGCUCAGAACUCACCCAUGUUACUUCAUUAUGAGAAUGUUAGCUACCCAGAUGUCUAUAAGCACCCUGGGCUGAAGUCAAAUACCCACAGUCUGAGGGCUUGGACAAAGAGCUGUGCACCACCUGUCUGAACUCUGAUGAACAGUAGGGGCAUGUCCACCUCUUCCCCUCUGGAAGUGCUCACAGAACACUGGAGGUGGAAUCUAGGAACAAGAGAGAGACAAGAUGCAUGUUAGCAAGGAUUGCAACCCAAAAAUACCAGACAAUCUAUCCAAUCUCAUCUGGGAGAAGGGAGACAGGCAGGGGAGACAGAUGUUUGACAACAGGAUUUAUCUGAAGCGUGCCAAUAUCUUGAACAAGUCUGCGUUACAAAUCAGGAGCAAGCAUCUGACCUCUCAAAGAAAGAAGCAGAAAUUAAGCAUACAUGUGAGUAUUAAAAUGUGCG
RNAcentral lists this long non-coding RNA (873 nucleotides) under Cyanistes caeruleus (blue tit). RNAcentral's name for it is "lncRNA (ENSCCEG00000015216.1)". The record is from RNAcentral. Lineage: Eukaryota; Metazoa; Chordata; Aves; Passeriformes; Paridae.